RNAcentral lists this ribosomal RNA (301 nucleotides) under uncultured bacterium. Its description in RNAcentral is "partial 16S ribosomal RNA". It matches the Rfam family "Bacterial small subunit ribosomal RNA", at positions 509 to 809 of the family's 1533-position model. The record is from RNAcentral.
CAGUCGCCGCGGGAAUACGUAGGGUGCGAGCGUUAAUCGGAAUUACUGGGCGUAAAGCGUGCGCAGGCGGUUGUGUAAGACAGGUGUGAAAUCCCCGGGCUUAACCUGGGAACUGCGCUUGUGACUGCACAGCUAGAGUAUGGCAGAGGGGGGUGGAAUUCCACGUGUAGCAGUGAAAUGCGUAGAGAUGUGGAGGAACACCGAUGGCGAAGGCAGCCCCCUGGGCCAAUACUGACGCUCAUGCACGAAAGCGUGGGGAGCAAACAGGAUUAGAUACCCUGAGUCCCUGUCUCUUAUACAC